CCUACGGGUGGCUGCAGUAAGGAAUAUUGGUCAAUGGAGGAAACUCUGAACCAGCCAUCCCGCGUGAAGGAUGAAGGGGCUCUGCCUUGUAAACUUCUUUUGUCUGGGGCGAAAAAGCUCGAUUUAUCGAGAACUGACGGUACCAGAAGAAUAAGCACCGGCUAACUCCGUGCCAGCAGCCGCGGUAAUACGGCGGGUGCAGGCGUUAUGGGGAAUCACGGGUUUUAAGGGGGCUUAGUAAGGCAUAGGUGAAAGGCUGUGGCUUAACCAUGGAAUUGCCAUUGAUACUGCAGAGCUUGAAUGAGGUUGAGGUUGGCGGAAUGUGACAUGUAGCGGUGAAAUGCUUAGAGAUGUCAUGGAACACCGAUGGCGAAGGCAGCUGACUGGACCUAUAUUGACGCUGAGGCACGAAAGCGUGGGGAGCGAACAGGAUUAGAUACCCUUGUAGUC
This 450-nucleotide ribosomal RNA is filed under the name uncultured bacterium. Its description in RNAcentral is "partial 16S ribosomal RNA". It matches the Rfam family "Bacterial small subunit ribosomal RNA", at positions 338 to 795 of the family's 1533-position model. The record is from RNAcentral.